UUUAAUCAUAAUUAUGUUACUGAACCGUGCCUAUACCACGUGACCAUCGCCUUUAUUCUAUUUGCUGUUCGCCUUAACGACUGUAGACGACGAAAUCAACAACAAUGCCGCCUAAGGACGA
Molecule: long non-coding RNA, 121 nt
Organism: Pecten maximus
Lineage: Eukaryota; Metazoa; Mollusca; Bivalvia; Pectinida; Pectinidae
Exons: 2
Source: RefSeq, a predicted model, not a curated record